CACGGGGGGAGCAAGCGUUGUUCGGAAUUACUGGGCGUAAAGGGCGUGUAGGCGGUCAAGUAAGUGGAAUGUGAAACGCCUCGGCUUACCCGAGGACCUGCAUCCCAAACUGCUUGGCUUGAGUAUGGGAGAGGAUGAGGGAAUUCCUGGUGUAGCGGUGAAAUGCGUAGAUAUCAGGAGGAACACCGGUGGCGAAAGCGCUCAUCUGGCCCAAUACUGACGCUGAGGCGCGAAAGCUAGGGGAGCAAACAGG
RNAcentral lists this ribosomal RNA (253 nucleotides) under uncultured bacterium. RNAcentral describes it as "partial 16S ribosomal RNA". It matches the Rfam family "Bacterial small subunit ribosomal RNA", at positions 524 to 776 of the family's 1533-position model. The record is from RNAcentral.